Electrophorus electricus (electric eel) is the source of this 2357-nucleotide non-coding RNA. The record is from RefSeq and is a predicted model, not a curated record. NCBI's taxonomy places the organism in Eukaryota, Metazoa, Chordata, Actinopteri, Gymnotiformes, Gymnotidae.
UUGGUUUUGUCUUUGGUCUGUGUUGAUAGGACUGACUCAGCACAAGAGAAGGGGGGUGGUGGGUGGCUGUUGGUGGCAGCUUCAAAACUCCCUACUGAACUGCCCUUCUGGAAAAGCAGUGCAGUGUCACUUUACCCAUUUUUCUCUUACUAAAAUGAUAAUUAUUUAUCACACAUUUAAAGCUUGAAAAAGCCAUAUUCCUGGUGGCAGGCCAAAAAGACAAAGAUUCCAAAUUGAUUCCAAAGAUUCCAAAUUCCAAAUUCAGUUACAACUGAAAAUUUCAGAGAUUGGUGUUUUAUUCAAGACCUUUGCUUUUAACAACACCUGUCACAAAGAAGCUUUACAGACAUCCUGACCCAAGCUCCAAUUAGCAAGCCAAAGCUGACAGUGGCAAGGAAAAACUCCCUAAAAGCAUGAGGAAGAAACCUUGAGAGGAACCAAGUCUUAAAUGCCCAUCCUCCUCCUGUUGACACCAGACACCAUAGCAGGAAUAAAAUAAGCAAUCAAAUGAAAAAUAAAAAGGUAACACAAGGCUUUUUCAGCUACCUUUUUUUGUUGUUGUUGAGAAUCAAUUGCCAUGCUUUUCAAAUGGCUAGCUUGUUAGUUUAGAAAAGAGGAACUAUGUAGCUUUUAUUUUCACUAAGAAAUGGGGGAGUGAAGUAGCAUCACUGAUUUAUCUCUCAGUUAGGAGACCAAGAACAUCUUGCCCUUAUAUGUAAGUGAUUAGCCAUGCAGUUGUGCCUGGGUCCAACUAUAACCACGAGCUUUAGUUUUAUGUGCUCAGUUGUGUUUGUGAACAAUCUUCCAUUCCACAAGUUACAUUCUUUUGAGGUUACUUGGCCUAAUUGAAAAGAGAACCUACAUCUUCUGAGAGCAGGGGGAUGGAGGGAUAAUGAGGGGCCCAGGGAACUACAAUGGUCUACAUGUCCCCCAGUGAAGACGGGGCCACAUUCAGAGUGCUUGAGCCUCCGCCUGCUGCUGGGUACGUCCAAUGCUGUUGCUAUGGAGACAGUAAAAACAUGUUAUAAAGGAAGGAAGAGAGAGUGCAAGAGAUACAGAGAGCAGAUAUUGAAUUGUUUGCGUUGUCUUGCAGCUGAAGGAGACCUCUGGCCCAUGUGAGUUGGCUGUUGGAGUGGGACAGCUGAGCUAUGCUUUCCUGUCUGCCCCGAGUCCCUCCUGAUCUUCUGACAAUAUGAACUGUUCAGUAAGACCACAUGUUUAAGAGGAUGAAAAUAUUCAUGCUUGAAUGAGAAUGCACUGUGAUUUUUUGCUCAUUUGAACAAUCCAUUCUCUUAGCCAGUCAAAAUUGUUUAGUAAUUCCACUUCAAUUAGUAAUUUAUUAACUUUAAUCUAAUUCUGGAAGUACGUCUAUCUAUCUAUCUAUCUAUCUAUCUAUAUAUAUAUAUAUAUAUAUUUUUUUUUUUUAUUAUUAUUUUUUUUUAAAUGUGUAAUUGGUACACAUAAGAAAAUGCAUAUAUGGCAUAUUGUCCGCUGACUGGAAAGGGCCCUACAAGAUGAGCGUUCAAAGACCUAAGAUAUUUAAGAACAGUCUCAAAGUUUUUGUAGCUUUACAAUCCAUCAAGGAAUAUUAUGACCAGAAUAAUUUCAUCUAAUGCCUGCCAUUUCAGCAUCUCUUACUGUGGUUUGGGGGGUAUGUCAGAGUGAGAGAGAGAAAGAGAGGGAGUGCUUUUCAUAUUCCACAGGGUACUGUUUUCUGGUUCUGAUUAAGAAGGGGCCACUGAAAGUGCGCCAUGAAUCACAACUGGGUGCUGACCUUGACAGCUGUCCUCAAACCACCAGCCUCUCAUGUUACAUGUUGUCUUAUGGUGAUGUGAGAGCAGAAGUUACCAAAUGCGAACGUGCUUGCUGAGCCUUGGAAAAGAAGGCCUGCAAAGACAGCUCAGUCAGCUGAAGCAAAAGUGUGGGGUUUACUGUCGGUAACAUUUAAUUUCAAAGGUCAAGAUGUCCACAGCAGAGGAAAGCCACCGUGGCAACAGCAUUUCAAUUCUGGUGGAGACCAGAUGAGAAUAGUUGGAGCCUCAGGGUCAGUGGGUACAGUAGAGUCUUAUGCUAUACUUCAGGUUGUCUCCCAGGUCAGGGCUUUGAAAAAACACAUGACUCAUCUUCCAUAGGUGUGACAAAACUAAGCCACUUUUUGAACAAAUGCUAUAAAAAUGUCCCUAGUGUUUCUGCAAAAUGGUAAGAAGUAGAAAUAAAAUACUUUUUUUUUUAGAUUCCUGCCACUUUAUUCAUAUUAAAAACAAGGAAAUUAAAGAAUAAAACAAACUGUUAUGGCACAAAAAAAUAAGUUAAAGGAUUGGCAAUCUAUCAAUAUCAGUUAGCAUAUCAGCAGUUUU